This 377-nucleotide ribosomal RNA is filed under the name uncultured cyanobacterium. Its description in RNAcentral is "bacterial SSU rRNA". It matches the Rfam family "Bacterial small subunit ribosomal RNA", at positions 376 to 770 of the family's 1533-position model. The record is from RNAcentral. Lineage: Bacteria; Bacillati; Cyanobacteriota.
CGAAAGCCUGACGGAGCAAUACCGCGUGCGGGAGGACGCUUUUUGGAGUGUAAACCGCUUUUCUCAAGGAAGAUGAUGACGGUACUUGAGGAAUCAGCAUCGGCUAACUUCGUGCCAGCAGCCGCGGUAAUACGAGGGAUGCAAGCGUUAUCCGGAAUUAUUGGGCGUAAAGCGUUCGUAGGUGGCAAAUUAAGUCUGUUGUUAAAGCAUGGAGCUUAACUCCAUAUCGGCAAUGGAAACUGGUUAGCUAGAGUAUGGUAGGGGUAACAGGAAUUCCCAGUGUAGCGGUGAAAUGCGUAGAUAUUGGGAAGAACACCAGCGGCGAAAGCGUGUUACUGGGCCAUUACUGACACUGAGGGACGAAAGCUAGGGGAGCG